Long non-coding RNA from Lotus japonicus, 989 nucleotides. RefSeq lists it as uncharacterized. Lineage: Eukaryota; Viridiplantae; Streptophyta; Magnoliopsida; Fabales; Fabaceae. The record is from RefSeq and is a predicted model, not a curated record. The transcript has 4 exons.
UUUCGUUGCAUUUUCCUUCGAUUUGCAUUGAACAGCAUCAGCAUAUUCCCUCAAUGGAUAUAUUCCGUGCCGCUGUGAACAUGGCUCAACGUGGUGGCAUCAGCCUAUUCCGUGCCGCCGCGAACAUGUCUCGUCGUGUAAUGGUUGCUGAAGUUGGAAAUGUCGUGGGGCGCGGCUGUGUGCGUGCUGUAUUUGGUCCUCCACCCUAAUAGUCUUAGCAGCGAUGCAUGCAAUUGGAUGAUUAAAGACUAAUCUUUAUCAAGAUGUAGCAUGAUACAAUUAACCAUGCCCCUCCUCCUGAAGUUCCUGCUCAUAGUGGCCAUAGUGGCCAUGGUCCUAGGAACAUUACCUUAACAUUUACCCUAGCAGAACUAGCACAAAUUGCACUGAUUAUAGCAGUUGGACAUGUCGUGGGGCGCGGUUGUGUGCAUGCUGUAUUUGGUCCUCCACCUAAUCGACAUAAGACAGUAGCUACUGGACCACCUGCUGCUCCUGCCCUUGUACGAAGUUCCAAUAGUCUUGGCAGCAAUGCAUGCACUAUUACCCGCACUAUUAACUCAUCAAAGGCUUUCCAAGAUAUCUAUGCGCGCUUUAGAUGACCGUGCUCCACGAGAUAUCUAUCCUCACUUGCUAUCUAUCUUGAACUAGUUCGGGAAUUCUGAACCUGCAGGCUGUGACUAGCAUGAGAGUUAUUUGACUACGCCCUGAACUUCAAUAUUCAGAGGAUCUCCGCGUUGCUAGUGGGUCAGCGGAAAAAGUAGAAGUGUUUUGCUUUGUAACUAAAGUUUGUAAGGAGUUUCUAUGGUUGAAGAAUUUUCUUCAUAUUUACCUCGUAGGUGAUGAUAUUUAUUUGUUGACAAAGCCGUCUUCGAGGACAAAGCUCAAGAGUUGCAUCAUGAUUUUUAUGAUGACAAGAUUUAACCCCGCUUAAUGAGUGAGGGGGAGAUGGAUUGGGUUAUCCCUCCUAAAUGGGGCCCAACUUAUUUUAU